GUUCACCGACUCAAUCAUGGCGGUGAAGUCGCGACCCUGGAUCACCUUCUCGACGAGGCGCAGUUUCUCAUCGGCAAGGCGAGGAUCGGCAUCCCAGACUGUAAUCGUCGUGGUGACGUAGGCCAUGCCUGCCACAUCGGCGCCAAGUUCUUGCAGCGCGACGUCGGCGUCGGCCGCCUUGUUGGCGGCGUCGGUGUCCACGAGCACGGAUUGCUCGUUGGUCAUCACCUCUUUCAGGAUGGCUGCGAUCGACUUGCGCUUGGCGAACCAUUG
This 273-nucleotide unclassified non-coding RNA is filed under the name Hevea brasiliensis (rubber tree). The record is from RNAcentral. Lineage: Eukaryota; Viridiplantae; Streptophyta; Magnoliopsida; Malpighiales; Euphorbiaceae.